GACGAACGCUGGCGGCGUGCCUAAUACAUGCAAGUAGAACGCUGAAGGAGGAGCUUGCUUCUCUGGAUGAGUUGCGAACGGGUGAGUAACGCGUAGGUAACCUGCCUGGUAGCGGGGGAUAACUAUUGGAAACGAUAGCUAAUACCGCAUAAGAGUAGAUGUUGCAUGACAUUUGCUUAAAAGGUGCAAUUGCAUCACUACCAGAUGGACCUGCGUUGUAUUAGCUAGUUGGUGGGGUAACGGCUCACCAAGGCGACGAUACAUAGCCGACCUGAGAGGGUGAGCGGCCACACUGGGACUGAGACACGGCCCAGACUCCUACGGGAGGCAGCAGUAGGGAAUCUUCGGCAAUGGACGGAAGUCUGACCGAGCAACGCCGCGUGAGUGAAGAAGGUUUUCGGAUCGUAAAGCUCUGUUGUAAGAGAAGAACGAGUGUGAGAGUGGAAAGUUCACACUGUGACGGUAGCUUACCAGAAAGGGACGGCUAACUACGUG
RNAcentral lists this ribosomal RNA (495 nucleotides) under uncultured bacterium. RNAcentral's name for it is "partial 16S ribosomal RNA". It matches the Rfam family "Bacterial small subunit ribosomal RNA", at positions 28 to 507 of the family's 1533-position model. The record is from RNAcentral.